This 2712-nucleotide long non-coding RNA is filed under the name Sus scrofa (pig). Its description in RNAcentral is "lncRNA (ENSSSCG00040064412.1, ENSSSCG00060053923.1, ENSSSCG00160029302.1)". Lineage: Eukaryota; Metazoa; Chordata; Mammalia; Artiodactyla; Suidae. The record is from RNAcentral.
GCACAUGUGGCUUGGAUUCCGUGUUUCUGUGGCUGUGGUAUAGCCCGGCAGCUAUAGCUCCCAUUCAGCCCUUAGCCUGGGAAAUUCCAUAUGCCAUAGGUGUGGCCCUAAAAAGACAAAAAAAAAAAAAAGGAAAUUAAUGAGAUGGAAAGAAUCCAUAGGACCCACCUUCAAACUGGGGCUUGGCUACUUUAAUAGGCCUGGACAUCAUGCUCUUUAACAUUUGAUUCAAUUCUCUAAACUGUAAAAUGAGUCUAUACUACUAUAUACCUUCUCACUAAGAGACGUAUUAUAUGUAGAAAUACAGAAAAUAAUGCAGCCCUUCAAUGAAAGUUACUCUCUUAGCUCCUCUUCCCUGAGGGCUGGAUUCUCCCACUGAGACUGGACUACAAAGAUGGCAGCAUCCAUUCUGGGUGGGUCUGAUCCUUAGGCAACCUCUGUUCAGUGCCAACUGGAAAACUGUUUAUUUCCCUGAGGCUUUCUAUGAAGUCCUUUCACUGUUUUCCGCUUGAAGGGAUCCUGUUUUGUUCAACUACCAGGGAUUUCUGUAAAGAGUUUCUUUACUGAUGCUUCAGCACUGGGAUUCUUAUCUCUAUAUUUUCAUCUUAGUGCCUACUGUUAAGCCAUCUCUAAACCAACUCUCUGUUCUCUGAGACAGCAAACAAUCACCUACUGUCUUAAUAUCUCUUGAACUCUUUUCCACUCUGAAAUGUUAGAUAUGUACUCAAAUGAAUCUGCGGCUAAUAGUAUUCCUAUCAAACCUGUCCUUUUUUUCCUUUUGGACGCUGGCUUUAGUUCUAUCAUCAAUUUCAUAUCUUUGCAUUUCGUAGAAUAAACAAAUACAGUUAUAUUUUUCCGUGUUUAUAUUUGAAUCUUAAUCCCUCUAAGGUGAGGUAUUCUCUGACCUACUUUAUAUUCCCAUGGGGAAAUAAUAAUAUGAUAAAUACAUACAUUCAUUAAUUUAUCAUGUUUUCUGAACAAAGUGGUGCAUCAAACUGUGUAAAGUACUUUAGGAGGUGGUGAAGGACAAACACAUUUGAAAGUUAAGAUAAAAUACAUAGCUGAAAUAUGAGCUUCCACUAAUUGGUCAAAAAGUAACUUUGAGGGAGUUCCUGUCAGCAGUAAUGAACCCAACUAGGAUCCAUGAGGUUAAGGAUUCAAUCCCUGGCCUUGCUCAGUGGGUUAAGGAUUUGGUGUUUCUAUGAGCUGUGGUGUAGGUCGUAGAUGCAGCUCGCAUGUGGUGUUGCUGUGACAGUAGCAUAGGCCAGCAGCUAUAGCUCUGAUUUGACCCCUAGCCUGGGAGCUUCCAUAUGCUGCAGGUGCAGCCCUAAAAAGCAGAACAAAACAAAAGAGAACAAUGAUAACUUGGAAACAUUUAGAGUAGGGAGUUAGAGUUAUAACUGGUAACUGUAAAAGUCAAUAAAAAUAGUUUGAGAGUAGAGGGCAUAAAACUGGAUUUUGAAAAAUGAUUUUAUCUCAAAAAGCCAUGGCAAUAUAUAAGGGCAUCCAUAUGAGCAAAUAGUAUUUUCAGAGAUUUGGAGUAAAAUGAUCAUACCUUCCCUCCAAAAAAAUUCAAGUGGUAUGUGCAGAAGGAGGUCAUGUUAGAAGCAUGGAUAAUUCAGAAAGGCCUUGUGGUGCAACAGUAGCGAGUCUGACUCCAGAAGCAUGGAUAAUUAGAGGAUUAUGAACAGCAUACUAAAGAGAAUGUGCUUUGUGGUUAGUAUAAUAUCAUGGCAAGUUUUUCAAAUGAAUGAAGCUGAAAGUCUUUAUCACAGCCACUGGUGUAGAGUGUAAACUAGGCUGUCUAUGUUCAACUGUUAACUCCUUCAAGACUAGGCCAUAUUGCAUGCAUCUUUGUUUUUCCUGAAAUGUUAAAUAAUGGCUUAAUGAAUAGAAGAAAGAACAACAGUGGCCUAGGCUGGAAAGAAGGCAUCAUAGCUCAGCAACAUGGCUAUCUCAGAGGAGAAGCUAGGUGGUCCUGAAAAACUGUGCAGUUUUUAGGGAUCUGGGUAAACAAUGUUCAAAAUUGAACUUGGAAGGAGUCUAGGAUGUCUUCCUGGUAAUGGAGACCUAUCAAAGGGACUGAAGUAUGAAUCAGAAAUCACUAUCUUGAAGGGAUUCACGGGAAUUUGUUCAUCAAUAUUUUUAACAUAAACAGAAACUAUGUAAAUUAUUAGUCAAUAGUUCAGAAUGUAUUCUUUUUCAGUAAAUAUUAAGCAGUGCCAAUGGAGAUAUUGAAUUUACUGAAGAUGUCAAGGUAAACAUCUCAUAACUAUAUGUCUUCCUUACAAUUAAAAUGAGAACAAGAAAGACAUUGCAUAGAACUAUUCUGUCUAUGUACUUAAGGAAAAUUUUGAGAAACAAAAAUGAUUUGGCAGUGAUAAUGCCGUCUGUGUGCAUAAAAUAAUUCAAAUUCUAUCUAAAAUACUUCUGAAUUUUGUUGCCUUAUUCCUUCCCAAAUAUAGUUUUGCUGUUGCACACUCUAGAGCAAUAAACUCUAUGCUAAUUAUUUGCAAAGGCCCUUUUCCAAUCCCCAUGUUGAAAAAAAAAUAUGCAUUUACUUAUUUGGGACCAAAUAUGUUAUUUUAAUUAAUUCAGAACAUAACACUUGACUCUUGUCCAUUGAGAUUUAAUGUCUUUGGAUUGAAUUCACACUUGCUUUCUGUAUUAGAAAAACAUUUCCGAAGAGACUGUGGGAACAACUGUGAUUUU